Molecule: ribosomal RNA, 776 nt
Filed under: uncultured Neocallimastigales
Lineage: Eukaryota; Fungi; Neocallimastigomycota; Neocallimastigomycetes; Neocallimastigales
Description: partial large subunit ribosomal RNA
Rfam family: Eukaryotic large subunit ribosomal RNA
Source: RNAcentral
UAUGUGAUCGUCUCUCGCAUAUCAAUAAGCGGAGGAAAAGAAACUAACAAGGAUUCCCCUAGUAACGGCGAGUGAAGCGGGAAGAGCUCAAAUUUGAAAUCUUAAAGGGUUUCCCUUUACGAAUUGUAGUUUAAAGAAGUGUUUUCUGUUGAGGUUUUGGUAAAAGUUCUUUGGAAUAGGACAUCAUAGAGGGUGAGAAUCCCGUAUUUGACCUUUACUUUCAACUUUGUGAUACACUUUCAAAGAGUCGGAUUGUUUGGGAAUGCAGUCCAAAAUGGGUGGUAAAUUUCAUCUAAAGCUAAAUAUUGGCGAGAGACCGAUAGCGAACAAGUACCGUGAGGGAAAGAUGAAAAGAACUUUGAAAAGAGAGUUAAACAGUACGUGAAAUUGUCAAAAGGGAAGCGUUUGACACCAGUGUUGUUUUUCUGAAAAUCAAUUAAAGAACUGUUUAUGCUAAGCUUGUUUAGACUUUAUCAGCUAAUCUGUUUAGUUUUGAGCUUUUCUUUAAUGCACUUUUCAGUUAACAAGUCAACAUCAAUUUCUUUUGCUGUAAAAAAGCUUGAGGAAGGUGGCUUGAGAUUCGUCUUAAGUGUUUAUAGCCUCUUGCCUAUGCAGUCGGAGAGAUUGAGGUCUGCAGCGUAGAUCCUUCGGGGCUAAAUGCAUUUGUGCUAAGUUAUAGCAUUUUAUAGACAACUUGUUGACUAUGAUUUGUCUUGUAGCUUACUCGCUUAUGUUAUUUUACCUACGCUUAGGAUGUUGAAUCUGUGCGAGACUAC